UGCAAGUCGAACGAUGAAGCCCUUCGGGGUGGAUUAGUGGCGAACGGGUGAGUAACACGUGGGCAAUCUGCCCUGCACUCUGGGACAAGCCCUGGAAACGGGGUCUAAUACCGGAUAACACCCUCGCAGGCAUCUGCGAGGGUUAAAAGCUCCGGCGGUGCAGGAUGAGCCCGCGGCCUAUCAGCUUGUUGGUGAGGUAACGGCUCACCAAGGCGACGACGGGUAGCCGGCCUGAGAGGGCGACCGGCCACACUGGGACUGAGACACGGCCCAGACUCCUACGGGAGGCAGCAGUGGGGAAUAUUGCACAAUGGGCGAAAGCCUGAUGCAGCGACGCCGCGUGAGGGAUGACGGCCUUCGGGUUGUAAACCUCUUUCAGCAGGGAAGAAGCGAAAGUGACGGUACCUGCAGAAGAAGCGCCGGCUAACUACGUGCCAGCAGCCGCGGUAAUACGUAGGGCGCAAGCGUUGUCCGGAAUUAUUGGGCGUAAAGAGCUCGUAGGCGGCUUGUCACGUCGAUUGUGAAAGCCCGAGGCUUAACCUCGGGUCUGCAGUCGAUACGGGCUAGCUAGAGUGUGGUAGGGGAGAUCGGAAUUCCUGGUGUAGCGGUGAAAUGCGCAGAUAUCAGGAGGAACACCGGUGGCGAAGGCGGAUCUCUGGGCCAUUACUGACGCUGAGGAGCGAAAGCGUGGGGAGCGAACAGGAUUAGAUACCCUGGUAGUCCACGCCGUAAAC
RNAcentral lists this ribosomal RNA (734 nucleotides) under Streptomyces panaciradicis. RNAcentral describes it as "bacterial SSU rRNA". It matches the Rfam family "Bacterial small subunit ribosomal RNA", at positions 56 to 807 of the family's 1533-position model. The record is from RNAcentral. Lineage: Bacteria; Bacillati; Actinomycetota; Actinomycetes; Kitasatosporales; Streptomycetaceae.